CUCCUUAGGAACAUCAUGCUCAAGGUUUGAUGAGCUCUAAGUUUGAGCUUAUGGCAAUAACAAUAUCUUGGCUCAUGUCCUUAGAAAUUGUAUCUGAGUGGGAACAGCUUCUCCAGACUCUCUGGUAAAAUGUCUUGGAUGGAAAACAACCACAGCAAAUACCAUUCAUAUUUGCUGGAUUGAUUUCCAUUCUGGACAGGGAAUGGAUAAGUGAACACUAGCAAUUGCUGCCCCGUUUCUCUUUUUGUUGGAGUUUUCUGACAUUCCUAUCAAAGAUACACAUCUGCAGGGCUGGAU
Molecule: long non-coding RNA, 297 nt
Organism: Podarcis muralis (Common wall lizard)
Lineage: Eukaryota; Metazoa; Chordata; Lepidosauria; Squamata; Lacertidae
Source: RefSeq, a predicted model, not a curated record